GACCCCCUAGCUCAGUGGUAGAGCGUGUGAUUCCAGUUCUGGGGAUUCCACAAGGUCAUCCGUUCAAUCCGGGUGGGGGUCA
Molecule: transfer RNA, 82 nt
Filed under: Amanita muscaria Koide BX008
Lineage: Eukaryota; Fungi; Basidiomycota; Agaricomycetes; Agaricales; Amanitaceae
Rfam family: tRNA
About the family: Transfer RNA (tRNA) molecules are approximately 80 nucleotides in length. Their secondary structure includes four short double-helical elements and three loops (D, anti-codon, and T loops).
Source: Rfam by way of RNAcentral